GUUGGUUGAAAGAUGGUUCUGCUAUCACUAAGAGAUGGACCCGCGGUGCAUUAGCUAGUUGGUAAGGUAAUGGCUUACCAAGGCAAUGAUGCAUAGCCGAGUUGAGAGACUGAUCGGCCACAAUGGGACUGAGACACGGCCCAUACUCCUACGGGAGGCAGCAGUAGGGAAUCUUCCACAAUGGGCGCAAGCCUGAUGGAGCAACGCCGCGUGUGUGAUGAAGGGUUUCGGCUCGUAAAACACUGUUAUAAGAGAAGAACGGCACUGAGAGUAACUGUUCAGUGUGUGACGGUAUCUUACCAGAAAGGAACGGCUAAAUACGUGCCAGCAGCCGCGGUAAUACGUAUGUUCCAAGCGUUAUCCGGAUUUAUUGGGCGUAAAGCGAGCGCAGACGGUUAUUUAAGUCUGAAGUGAAAGCCCUCAGCUCAACUGAGGAAUUGCUUUGGAAACUGGAUGACUUGAGUGCAGUAGAGGAAAGUGGAACUCCAUGUGUAGCGGUGAAAUGCGUAGAUAUAUGGAAGAACACCAGUGGCGAAGGCGGCUUUCUGGACUGUAACUGACGUUGAGGCUCGAAAGUGUGGGUAGCAAACAGGAUUAGAUACCCUGGUAGUCCACACCGUAAACGAUGAGUGCUAGAUGUUCGAGGGUUUCCGCCCUUGAGUGUCGCAGCUAACGCAUUAAGCACUCCGCCUGGGGAGUACGACCGCAAGGUUGAAACUCAAAGGAAUUGACGGGGACCCGCACAAGCGGUGGAGCAUGUGGUUUAAUUCGAAGCAACGCGAAGAACCUUACCAGGUCUUGACAUCCCUUGACAACGCUAGAAAUAGCGCGUUCCCUUCGGGGACAAGGUGACAGGUGGUGCAUGGUUGUCGUCAGCUCGUGUCGUGAGAUGUUGGGUUAAGUCCCGCAACGAGCGCAACCCUUAUUAUUAGUUGCCAGCAUUCAGUUGGGCACUCUAGUGAGACUGCCGGUGAUAAACCGGAGGAAGGUGGGGAUGACGUCAAAUCAUCAUGCCCCUUAUGACCUGGGCUACACACGUGCUACAAUGGCAUAUACAACGAGUCGCUAACCCGCGAGGGUACGCUAAUCUCUUAAAGUAUGUCUCAGUUCGGAUUGUAGGCUGCAACUCGCCUACAUGAAGUCGGAAUCGCUAGUAAUCGCGGAUCAGAACGCCGCGGUGAAUACGUUCCCGGGUCUUGUACACACCGCCCGUCACACCAUGAGAGUUUGUAACACCCAAAGCCGGUGG
Molecule: ribosomal RNA, 1249 nt
Filed under: Weissella hellenica
Lineage: Bacteria; Bacillati; Bacillota; Bacilli; Lactobacillales; Lactobacillaceae
Description: bacterial SSU rRNA
Rfam family: Bacterial small subunit ribosomal RNA
Source: RNAcentral